This 459-nucleotide ribosomal RNA is filed under the name uncultured bacterium. RNAcentral's name for it is "partial 16S ribosomal RNA". It matches the Rfam family "Bacterial small subunit ribosomal RNA", at positions 338 to 795 of the family's 1533-position model. The record is from RNAcentral.
CCUACGGGAGGCAGCAGUGAGGAAUAUUGGUCAAUGGGCGCGAGCCUGAACCAGCCAAGUCGCGUGAGGGAAGACGGUCCUAUGGAUUGUAAACCUCUUUUGUCGGGGAACAAAGGCGUCCACGGGUGGGCGGAUGAGUGUACCCGAAGAAAAAGCAUCGGCUAACUCCGUGCCAGCAGCCGCGGUAAUACGUGGGAUGCGAGCGUUAUCCGGAUUUAUUGGGGUAAAGGGGUGCGUAGGCGGACAGUCAAGUCAGCGGUAAAAAUGCAGUGCUCAACGCCGUACAGCCGUUGAAACUGGCAGUCUUGAGUGGGCGAGAGGAAUGCGGAAUGCGUGGUGUAGCGGUGAAAUGCAUAGAUAUCACGCAGAACAUCGAUUGCGAAGGCAGCAUACCGGCGCCCUACUGACGCUGAGGCACGAAAGCGUGGGUAUCGAACAGGAUUAGAUACCCUUGUAGUC